This 255-nucleotide ribosomal RNA is filed under the name uncultured bacterium. RNAcentral's name for it is "partial 16S ribosomal RNA". It matches the Rfam family "Bacterial small subunit ribosomal RNA", at positions 524 to 776 of the family's 1533-position model. The record is from RNAcentral.
UACGUAGGGUGCAAGCGUUGUCCGGAAUUAUUGGGCGUAAAGAGCUCGUAGGCGGUUUGUUGCGUCGGCUGUGAAAUCCCGAGGCUCAACCUCGGGUCUGCAGUCGAUACGAGCAAACUAGAGUGUUGCAGGGGAGACUGGAAUUCCUGGUGUAGCGGUGAAAUGCGCAGAUAUCAGGAGGAACACCGAUGGCGAAGGCAGGUCACUGGGCCGCAACUGACGCUGGAGGAGCCGAAGGCAUGGGGAGCGAACAGG